This 553-nucleotide small RNA is filed under the name Pongo abelii (Sumatran orangutan). RNAcentral describes it as "retained intron". Lineage: Eukaryota; Metazoa; Chordata; Mammalia; Primates; Hominidae. The record is from RNAcentral.
AAGAUGGCAGUUACUACGAAGGGGCGUUUGUGGAUGGAGAAAUCAUGGGAGAAGGCCGCCGGCACUGGGCCUGGUCAGGAGACACCUUCUCUGGACAGUUUGUUCUGGGAGAGCCUCAAGGCUACGGCGUCAUGGAGUACAAAGCCGGCGGAUGUUACGAAGGGGAGGUCUCCCACGGCAUGCGGGAAGGUCUGGCGUCCACAGGAGCCGGGUGCUGUGAGGGCGGGCGCUUUCAGGACACGGAAUCCUACAUCCACUUGGGUUCAGGAACCUCUGAUAGGGCCUGCCUGACUUCAGAGGUUGGGAAAGGAGGUAGGGGGCCCAUGCCCUCUUCUCCCCACCCCCAGGCCAUGUCCUAUGCCCUGCAUACACCAGUAUGCCCACCAGGUCCUGUGGCGCUUGGUGCAGCUCUGUUAUCCGCUGCCGCGGAACAGAUGCCCAUGGCUUAGGGGUUAAAAUGGCCACUGCUUUAUGAACUGCUCCUGAUCCUGGGGUCAGUAGGUAGGGCUGGGCCCUGCAGGGAGGGGCUUCUGCUCUGGUCUCAUGUGGGGUC